AUACUUACCUGGCAGGGGACAGAUCAAGAUCACAAAGGUGGUUUUCACAUGUGAGGCACUCUGGAUAUGCUGACCCCUACGAUUUCCCCAAAUGUGGGAAACUCAACUGCAUAAGUUGUGGUUGUGGGAGACUGCAUUGACAUUUUUUAAUGUCUACUUUUA
Molecule: small nuclear RNA, 162 nt
Organism: Marmota marmota marmota (Alpine marmot)
Lineage: Eukaryota; Metazoa; Chordata; Mammalia; Rodentia; Sciuridae
Gene: U1
Rfam family: U1 spliceosomal RNA
About the family: U1 is a small nuclear RNA (snRNA) component of the spliceosome (involved in pre-mRNA splicing). Its 5' end forms complementary base pairs with the 5' splice junction, thus defining the 5' donor site of an intron. There are significant differences in sequence and secondary structure between metazoan and yeast U1 snRNAs, the latter being much longer (568 nucleotides as compared to 164 nucleotides in human).
Source: Ensembl